Molecule: long non-coding RNA, 3994 nt
Organism: Girardinichthys multiradiatus
Lineage: Eukaryota; Metazoa; Chordata; Actinopteri; Cyprinodontiformes; Goodeidae
Exons: 5
Source: RefSeq, a predicted model, not a curated record
AAAAAAAAGGCAAAACAAAAUGAGCAUUUGAUGCGGCGAUGAAUAUAACAGGACCAGAACUGAUCUAGAAGCAUAUUUUCACAUGUUAUUUCACUCAGUUCAACAAUUAACAACAAAAACAUUUAUUUUCCUCAGUGGUUCAAUAUGAGUACUUCGUGGUUGCUCUUUUCGAUCAUUUACUCAAUUUGUGGAGAAUAUUCAGCCAUUGUUGCUGAACUAGAGAUGCACCAAUUAAUCAAGCCAAGGACAAAAACGGUUAAUUUUGUCUUGACCAGUUCUGACAACAGAUCGGCACAUCAAACACUAAAAACAUCUAAUUCAUUAAAUGCAUCAAAGCAAAGAACGCCCAUCAUCCUUGGUCUAUAAAUGCAUCAGCUAACAGCUAAAAGAAGGCUGAAACACCUUCUCCCUCGCUUACAAGAAACAUUUUGUUCCCCUGAAAGAUUUCUGGGUGUGAGACACCUGAAUAGUCGAAGUAUAAAAGUUUAAAGGUACACCACUCAUUCCUGUCAUUAGGACGGAGGCUAUCUUCUUUAUCUUUGCCUUAAUAUAUAAAGAAGAAAACAGUAUAAUAUUCUGUGCAAUAACUAAACUCCUACGGAAUUUACUGUUUUUUUGCACAGGUCUAAGUUUAACUUAGUUAAACAUGAGUUUAACUAAAUAAGUUUGCACAAUAUACUGUAAACUAGGCUUCAAUGCAGUGAUUGAUCACAGAUAUUAGCCAGUGUUUAAAAUCCAAGUGUUUAAACAAAAAGGAGCUCAUAGUAGAUAAGGUAACAAUGAGCCAUUAUUGUUAACACACCAAGCUAUACUAAAACAGUUUUGGGAACAGAAUUAUGUUGCUGUUAGCUGCUUUGCAUCGUGGGCCUUGUAGUUUGUUAGUUAGAACUCCUGGAUGUAGUUAUUGCUUGUCAAGACUCUGAGGAGACCCUGAUCUGUUCAUCUAUCCUUGUAUCUGCAGAUGGGAAGUAUCUGAAAUUCCAGCAACUUAAUCCAGAAAGGUGAAAAGAUAUUUGUCUAUUUGGGAUUUCUUAAUGUUUCAGAUGAUUAAACAACUUAUAAUAUCAUCCUAGGAUAAACAGAGAAAAUACAAAGUUGUGGUUUUCAAAUGACAUUUUAACUUAUGAAGGCAAGUAGCUAUCCAGACCAACCUGGCCCUAUAGGAAUAACUAAUUGCCCCCUCAAACCCAGUAACUGGUCAUGCCACCCUUGACGGCAAGAACUGCCAUCAAGUGUUUGUGAUAACCAGCAAUGAACCUUUUACGUCGCUGUGGAGGACUUUUGGUCCACUCUUCCUUGCAGAAAUGUUUUAAUUCAGCCAUACUGGAGGGUUUUUAAUAAAGAACAGCAUAUUUACAGCAUCUCCACCAGAUUUAAGUCUGGUCUUUGACUAGCCAAAGCUUUGAACUAUUUCUUUGUUUUGAGCCAUUUAAAGGUAGACUUGCUGUUGUUGCUUUGAUUAUUGUCCUGCUUCAUAAGCCAAGUUCACUGGAGCUUAUGGUAACAAACCGUUGAACAAUAAUUCUCCUUCAGGAUUUUCUGGCAGAGAUUUAUGGUUCCAUCCGUUGAGAGAGGUCAACCAGGAAGCAGCUUAUCCACCCUGGACCAUCACAUUACCACCACUGUGUUUGCCUGUGGGUAAGAAGGCCUGUUUCUAAACUACUGUUAUGCCAGAUAUAAUGUGACACACACCUUCCAAAAACUUCUUCUUUACUCUCAUCAGUCCACAGAUUAUUUCCCCCAAAGUGUUGAGGAUCAUUGGAAUGUUUUUGACAAAUGCGAGACGGGCUUUUGAGUUAUUUUUGUUCAGCAGUGUUUUUUGCCUUGGGGUGUUAUUUCUGCCCUUUGUAGCCCCUUCCAGAUGGAUAGUUGUCCAUGAAUGUAUUUCUAAUCUGCUCUUGAAUUCCUUUUAGCCUACUUUCCUUUGGGAUUAAUAAAGUAUUUUUGAAUUGAAUUGAAUUCAUGUUGUCAGUCGGGUUCUGCUUAAGUACAUUUUUGAUUCUACAUGUCUGGCAGUAAUCAGGGUAACGUGGGUGCGCCUCAUAAAAUGUAUCUUGUGGUUAAUCACAGUUUUUCUACACAAACAAGUAUAUUCUCACUCACAUAUUUGCAUGAUGAAGACCAGUUGUGUAUGUAAACCUAACCACACGUGAUUUAGGUUUGGUUGUGUUUACAAAUGUUCUGUACUCCAACAUUUCCUGACAAGUUUGAUAAAGUGACGGGGAGUGAGUGCUGCACAAAGGAGAUGAAGAGGCAGCUGGCAGCGAUGACACAAUGCAGAUUUGAGAUGCCUUUAGCCUUUUAAUUAAACCAUCAGUUUCUAAAUGGCGACAGCCUCCAUCGGUAGUCCAGGGAGGGCCGUCCAAACAUAACAAUUAAAUUAAACCUGAGAAAUGAACUGUUAGGCUGAGCUCAGCUGCUAAAGUCAGUCCAGAUGAUUAGACUGACGGCUGUUCGGUGAUAAGACUUGUAGCUAACGGUUAAUCACAUGUAAACAUAACGAACUUAAAUACCAGCUGCCACUCCAGGUAACGGUUGCCAUGGUGAUAAAUAGCCGUUACUUUAGCACGGUCCGCUCAGAGCAGCUAACUGCUUGACUUUACGUGUGUUCUGCUGUUUUUGUUGUGUUUUGACGUUAGCUGCUAGGAGGCUAGCAGGCUAGCCUCAGCUAGGCAGGCUCUGUGGAAAUAACAAAGCGACCCCUCACACAAACAGCAAUAAAUCACAGCUCUGCUUACACGGUGAUGUGCCCGGCCCCUCGCAUGACCACGGGCUCCGGACAGUAUCUGGAGAUGUCAUCCAAUGGUUACUGGACUGCAGUCAGCAUCGGUAAGGACUGUCCAGGACCUGCUUCAUUGUCUAUGCCCGCUGUUCCCUGCAGGGUUCUGGUGGAGCUGUUGCCUAUCUGUCCAGGACCUGUGUCUCACUGACAAGCCUCGUUCUCCAGCUCGGUGCAGGUGAACCUCUUUGGGGACAGUCGGUUUGGCAUGCAGAUUUCCACACAGCAGGCUUGCAUGUCUGGACCGGCCUGGCGUGUCUGAGCGCCGCAUCUUUAUUUGAACCGCAUCUGAAAUCCACAUCUUCUCCACAGAUAAGCAAAUUGAGCUGCUUUUGAUCUGGUUUUGAUGACAAAGUGAAUUUCAAAGAACCACGGGUCGAGUUUCUCCUCUUAUUUAUGAGUGGUAACUCCGGGAGAGGAAAGGGAGGCUGGCGCAUAUCAAAGUGAGGGAGGUGAUGAACGCAAGGACUGCUGCCUGGAUAUGACUGGCAGCACUGGAAGCAGCAAACAAUGUAACAGGGAAGUCGAGCUCACAUCUCCAGGAAUAAUGACAUUAACAUCACAACUGGGCAUGGCGCCGAUUCCUCACACCUUUUUUUCGAUUUCCACCCGCAGGAGCAGAGUUCACUGGGCCGAGCUGCAGGGGACAAUGGCCCGAGGAACAGACAGGCUGCCGACACCUUGUCACAACUAGGAAGUGAGUCUUUCAUAAUCCGAGGAGCAGGAGCGGAGCCCAGCACAGAUGCCACACUCCAGUACAAACAAACCUCAGUGGGAAUAAUUGAGAAGCGUUGGACUGCUGUUUUCUAACACAUUGUCGGCAACAAGGACCCAGGAGGUAUUUAGAUACAUAUGAAAGGUCAGGGAGGCAAUUAAAGGGAACAUUUUUAUACUGAAAAUCUUUAUAAGUGUUUUUUUUACCAUGAAGAAAUUACCACCUUUCAGCAAAAAGUGACAGAAAAGUCGAACCAAAUAAAACAAACAUAUCAACUUACUCCCAAGAGUGUUAAAAAUGUCCAAGAGGAUCCUUAAAUAACUGAAACUGAUUAUUUUCUGUACAUACAAACAGAAAUAAUUACUCUUGUCAUGCUAAAACGUUAACUGUUAACAUGUAACCUUAAUAAAGAAUAAUCCCUACUGGGCUGGACCAAUAAAUAAAGUGGUAACUUAGAUCUCACAAUGCAAUUUUAAAUAAAAAAAACAAGUUGCAAUUUA